AUUGAACGCUGGCGGCAUGCUUUACACAUGCAAGUCGAACGGCAGCGCAGGCUUCGGCCUGGCGGCGAGUGGCGAACGGGUGAGUAAUACAUCGGAACGUGCCCAGUAGUGGGGGAUAGCUCGGCGAAAGCCGGAUUAAUACCGCAUACGACCUGAGGGUGAAAGCGGGGGAUCUUCGGACCUCGCGCUAUUGGAGGGGCCGAUGGCGGAUUAGCUAGUUGGUGGGGUAAAGGCCUACCAAGGCGACGAUCUGUAGCUGGUCUGAGAGGACGACCAGCCACACUGGGACUGAGACACGGCCCAGACUCCUACGGGAGGCAGCAGUGUGGAAUUUUGGACAAUGGGCGAAAGCCUGAUCCAGCAAUGCCGCGUGUGUGAUGAAGGCCUUCGGGUUGUAAAGCACUUUUGGCGGGAACGAAAAGGACUGUGCCAAUACCACGGUUCGAUGACGGUACCCGCAGAAUAAGCACCGGCUAACUACGUG
This 484-nucleotide ribosomal RNA is filed under the name uncultured bacterium. RNAcentral's name for it is "partial 16S ribosomal RNA". It matches the Rfam family "Bacterial small subunit ribosomal RNA", at positions 29 to 507 of the family's 1533-position model. The record is from RNAcentral.